GACGAACGCUGGCGGCGUGCCUAACACAUGCAAGUCGAACGGAACUGUUUUGAAAGAUUUCUUCGGAAUGAAUUUGAUUUAGUUUAGUGGCGGACGGGUGAGUAACGCGUGAGUAACCUGCCUUCAAGAGGGGGAUAACAUUCUGAAAAGAAUGCUAAUACCGCAUGACAUAUCGGAAUCACAUGAUUUUGAUAUCAAAGAUUUUAUCGCUUGAAGAUGGACUCGCGUCCGAUUAGUUAGUUGGUGAGGUAACGGCUCACCAAGACCGCGAUCGGUAGCCGGACUGAGAGGUUGAACGGCCACAUUGGGACUGAGACACGGCCCAGACUCCUACGGGAGGCAGCAGUGGGGGAUAUUGCGCAAUGGGGGCAACCCUGACGCAGCAACGCCGCGUGAAGGAUGAAGGUUUUCGGAUUGUAAACUUCUUUUAUUAAGGACGAAAAUUG
This 446-nucleotide ribosomal RNA is filed under the name uncultured bacterium. Its description in RNAcentral is "bacterial SSU rRNA". It matches the Rfam family "Bacterial small subunit ribosomal RNA", at positions 28 to 454 of the family's 1533-position model. The record is from RNAcentral.